GAUUUUUCUUGCUGUUCUCAGAUCUCCUGAACUUUGAGUUCUUCUCCCAUCACCAGGAUGCUGCUGACCUGCUCUCUGCUCUGCCCAGCCACUUAACUUAGUGGUGGAAUUUCUGCUGCCUUCACCAUUUCCUUCAAUUUAUUCUCCAUAGAAUCCUACCUCAGCUCUCACAAAGUCUCAGCUAUUCUUCGAGUUACUCCAGGACAGCAAAGAAUAAGUGAAGCCAAAACGCUGAUUUAGAAGCUUUGACCACACCAUCAGCUGCUCCAAACUGGCAGAGCUGAAAUAGGCUUCUCUUACCGCUGCUGAGGAUCUGGAUCCAGAAACGGAAAGGAAAAAGAAAUGGCUGAAGGAAAAGUUUUCUUUUGAGUGUGUUCAGCAGAUUUUGCCACAAGUUAAACCAUCAGGAUGCGGCACUUCUAACAAAUGUAAAUUAAAAAGCCUGCCUCUUCAAGCAGAAUGUGCUGUGCAUAAAAUGCUUUUACCAAAUAAUUCCAGCACUGCAAUAAUCCAUUUCGUGAUUUAAAAGCCUUGUAAAAACGUCAAAAUGGUUGGUUGGUUCUACCAUCUUUGUGCCAUCUAUUGCACUGAAUAAAUAAAGGGAAACACAAUUUAUUCA
RNAcentral lists this long non-coding RNA (619 nucleotides) under Coturnix japonica (Japanese quail). RNAcentral's name for it is "lncRNA (ENSCJPG00005002995.1)". The record is from RNAcentral. Lineage: Eukaryota; Metazoa; Chordata; Aves; Galliformes; Phasianidae.